CCUACGGGUGGCAGCAGUGAGGAAUAUUGGUCAAUGGGCUUACGCCUGAACCAGCCAAGUCGCGUGAGGGAAGACUGCCCUAUGGGUUGUAAACCUCUUUUGUCAGGGAGCAACGCCGGCUACGUGUAGCCGGACUGAGAGUACCUGAAGAAAAAGCAUCGGCUAACUCCGUGCCAGCAGCCGCGGUAAUACGGAGGAUGCGAUCGUUAUCCGGUUGUAUUGGGUUUAAAGGGUGCGUAGGCGGAAUGCCAAGUCAGCGGUAAAAUCGCGGGGCUCAACCUCGCUCCGCCGGUGAAACUGGCGUGCUUGAGUGGGCGAGAAGUAUGCGGAAUGCGUGGUGUAGCGGUGAAAUGCAGAGAUAUCACGCAGAACUCCGAUUGCGAAGGCAGCAUACCGGCGCCCAACUGACGCUGAAGCACGAAAGCGUGGGUAUCGAACAGGAUUAGAUACCCCAGUAGUC
Molecule: ribosomal RNA, 460 nt
Filed under: uncultured bacterium
Lineage: Bacteria
Description: partial 16S ribosomal RNA
Rfam family: Bacterial small subunit ribosomal RNA
Source: RNAcentral